CUCUAUGACAUUGACUUGGAUCCCAUUUACCUGAGCUACAAAUCUUCUCAAAGCUCGCCAGCACGUAACACUCAGGAAAUACUCAGCAUUUUACGCAGGUAGUACCAGGGAAAUGUUCAGCAGAUCAGACAGGAUCUGGAGUAUUUAAUUCAGGGUAAACGCCGGGAAUUACUCAACAAUUCAGAUGAUGUCUGGAGUAUGUUACUAUGUUACUUCCACUUGGCAAUGGUUUGGGAGUUAGAGGGGGCUAAAGAGAGAAGUCCUCCAUUACAAGAGUUCUAGUAGUUGGCAAAGACUUGAAACAACUUUUUUCUCCCUAAUCUACAUCUGUGGGGAAAAUUUGUAACUUCUGUGUCUAAGCCUUGGUGCUGUUGCCUUUCACUGUUAGUGCGCCACGGUCUAAUUUCACUGCAGCUUCUGUGAGGCGCCCAUGCUUGCAGCCAAUGAGCCAGGACCUAACCUCAGGAAUGCUGCAAACUCACCUGAGUGCCAGCGUGUCUGCAGCUGCGUUUCACACCCUGCCAGGGCAGGGUGGUACCCUUCCUGAAAUGGCUGUGGGCAACUCCCACCCUGCUAACCAAGCCUUGCCUGUCACUAGAAACAGCUUUGUGGUGGUGGCAACCAAUCUCACCUGAAAGGACGAUUCAAUUUUGUUUACGUCAGCUAGGAGUGGCUUUCGCUUUUUCUUAAAGGAAUCCCUUCUUUAUCCAGUGGUGUGAUCCAGUAUUAGAAUUAGGUUUCAUUGUCACGUGUACUCAAGUAGAGGAGGACAGUGAAAGGUUUAUACUGUCACCAUUCAUGGCACCGUCUUAGGUACAAGUACCUAGGUACAAAAUCUUAGGUAAAGAGUAGGGAAGUAACAAAUAAGCUUAAAAUUCAACAUUACAGUUCUUGUCAGUAUGAUGCAGUGGAGGUAUGAGGCAGUGGAGGUAUGAGGCAGUGGAGGUAUGAGGUAGUGGAGGUAUGAGGCAGUGGGGGUAUGAGGCAGCGGAGGUAUGAGGCAGCGGAGGUAUGAGGCAGCGGAGGUAUGAGGCAGUGGAGGUACGAGGCAGUGGGGGUAUGAGGCAGUGGGGGUAUGAGGCUGUGGGGGUAUGAGGCAGCGGAGGUAUGAGGCAGUGGCAUUCAAGACGCACCUGGACAGAUACAGUAAGAUAUGGUUCCUCGAAGUGGAAACAGUCUUAGUAUGGAAGGGCAAAAUGUAUCAGCGCAGGCUUGGCAGGGCCGAAGGGCCUGUACCUGUGCUGAAUUAUUCAUUGUACCUUGUUCCAAUAAGUAAGAACUAAAAUGAAGAGUUCCAAUUCGCUGUCUGUCUUUCAGGAAUGGCCUGCAGUCGCUCCAAACUGGCUUUCCCCGUGAGGGCUUGAUCUCUCAAUCGUGAGUGUGGUGCUGGAAAAGCACAGUAGGUCAGGCAGCAUCCGAGGAGCAGGAGAAUUGCUGCUGGUCUGUGUGUUGCUACUUUCCGUCUCCCUCUCCUCUUUGAAUAAGGUAUCUUUAAACUAAAGAACUGCGUAUGCUGGAAAUCGGAAACAAAAGCAGAGAUUGCCGGAGGAUCUCAGCAGGUCUGACAG
This is a non-coding RNA of Chiloscyllium plagiosum (whitespotted bambooshark), 1568 nucleotides long. The record is from RefSeq and is a predicted model, not a curated record. NCBI's taxonomy places the organism in Eukaryota, Metazoa, Chordata, Chondrichthyes, Orectolobiformes, Hemiscylliidae.